This 105-nucleotide transfer RNA is filed under the name Aspergillus brunneoviolaceus CBS 621.78. RNAcentral describes it as "tRNA-Leu". It matches the Rfam family "tRNA". From Rfam's summary of the family: Transfer RNA (tRNA) molecules are approximately 80 nucleotides in length. Their secondary structure includes four short double-helical elements and three loops (D, anti-codon, and T loops). Further hydrogen bonds mediate the characteristic L-shaped molecular structure. tRNAs have two regions of fundamental functional importance: the anti-codon, which is responsible for specific mRNA codon recognition, and the 3' end, to which the tRNAs corresponding amino acid is attached (by aminoacyl-tRNA synthetases). tRNAs cope with the degeneracy of the genetic code in two manners: having more than one tRNA (with a specific anti-codon) for a particular amino acid; and 'wobble' base-pairing, i.e. permitting non-standard base-pairing at the 3rd anti-codon position. The record is from RNAcentral. Lineage: Eukaryota; Fungi; Ascomycota; Eurotiomycetes; Eurotiales; Aspergillaceae.
GGUAAGGUGGCCGAGUGGUUAAGGCGUUGGAUUUAAGAGUGAUGUUUAUCACCUUGAAGUUCCCCAAUGACGAGAGUCUCCAGGGUUCGAACCCCUGUCUUACCA